This 2268-nucleotide ribosomal RNA is filed under the name Escherichia coli. RNAcentral describes it as "partial 23S ribosomal RNA". It matches the Rfam family "Bacterial large subunit ribosomal RNA", at positions 697 to 2925 of the family's 2925-position model. RNAcentral also lists the same sequence under 1 other name. The record is from RNAcentral. Lineage: Bacteria; Pseudomonadati; Pseudomonadota; Gammaproteobacteria; Enterobacterales; Enterobacteriaceae.
AAGUUGCAGGGUAUAGACCCGAAACCCGGUGAUCUAGCCAUGGGCAGGUUGAAGGUUGGGUAACACUAACUGGAGGACCGAACCGACUAAUGUUGAAAAAUUAGCGGAUGACUUGUGGCUGGGGGUGAAAGGCCAAUCAAACCGGGAGAUAGCUGGUUCUCCCCGAAAGCUAUUUAGGUAGCGCCUCGUGAAUUCAUCUCCGGGGGUAGAGCACUGUUUCGGCAAGGGGGUCAUCCCGACUUACCAACCCGAUGCAAACUGCGAAUACCGGAGAAUGUUAUCACGGGAGACACACGGCGGGUGCUAACGUCCGUCGUGAAGAGGGAAACAACCCAGACCGCCAGCUAAGGUCCCAAAGUCAUGGUUAAGUGGGAAACGAUGUGGGAAGGCCCAGACAGCCAGGAUGUUGGCUUAGAAGCAGCCAUCAUUUAAAGAAAGCGUAAUAGCUCACUGGUCGAGUCGGCCUGCGCGGAAGAUGUAACGGGGCUAAACCAUGCACCGAAGCUGCGGCAGCGACACUGUGUGUUGUUGGGUAGGGGAGCGUUCUGUAAGCCUGUGAAGGUGUGCUGUGAGGCAUGCUGGAGGUAUCAGAAGUGCGAAUGCUGACAUAAGUAACGAUAAAGCGGGUGAAAAGCCCGCUCGCCGGAAGACCAAGGGUUCCUGUCCAACGUUAAUCGGGGCAGGGUGAGUCGACCCCUAAGGCGAGGCCGAAAGGCGUAGUCGAUGGGAAACAGGUUAAUAUUCCUGUACUUGGUGUUACUGCGAAGGGGGGACGGAGAAGGCUAUGUUGGCCGGGCGACGGUUGUCCCGGUUUAAGCGUGUAGGCUGGUUUUCCAGGCAAAUCCGGAAAAUCAAGGCUGAGGCGUGAUGACGAGGCACUACGGUGCUGAAGCAACAAAUGCCCUGCUUCCAGGAAAAGCCUCUAAGCAUCAGGUAACAUCAAAUCGUACCCCAAACCGACACAGGUGGUCAGGUAGAGAAUACCAAGGCGCUUGAGAGAACUCGGGUGAAGGAACUAGGCAAAAUGGUGCCGUAACUUCGGGAGAAGGCACGCUGAUAUGUAGGUGAAGUCCCUCGCGGAUGGAGCUGAAAUCAGUCGAAGAUACCAGCUGGCUGCAACUGUUUAUUAAAAACACAGCACUGUGCAAACACGAAAGUGGACGUAUACGGUGUGACGCCUGCCCGGUGCCGGAAGGUUAAUUGAUGGGGUCAGCGCAAGCGAAGCUCUUGAUCGAAGCCCCGGUAAACGGCGGCCGUAACUAUAACGGUCCUAAGGUAGCGAAAUUCCUUGUCGGGUAAGUUCCGACCUGCACGAAUGGCGUAAUGAUGGCCAGGCUGUCUCCACCCGAGACUCAGUGAAAUUGAACUCGCUGUGAAGAUGCAGUGUACCCGCGGCAAGACGGAAAGACCCCGUGAACCUUUACUAUAGCUUGACACUGAACAUUGAGCCUUGAUGUGUAGGAUAGGUGGGAGGCUUUGAAGUGUGGACGCCAGUCUGCAUGGAGCCGACCUUGAAAUACCACCCUUUAAUGUUUGAUGUUCUAACGUGGACCCGUGAUCCGGGUUGCGGACAGUGUCUGGUGGGUAGUUUGACUGGGGCGGUCUCCUCCUAAAGAGUAACGGAGGAGCACGAAGGUUGGCUAAUCCUGGUCGGACAUCAGGAGGUUAGUGCAAUGGCAUAAGCCAGCUUGACUGCGAGCGUGACGGCGCGAGCAGGUGCGAAAGCAGGUCAUAGUGAUCCGGUGGUUCUGAAUGGAAGGGCCAUCGCUCAACGGAUAAAAGGUACUCCGGGGAUAACAGGCUGAUACCGCCCAAGAGUUCAUAUCGACGGCGGUGUUUGGCACCUCGAUGUCGGCUCAUCACAUCCUGGGGCUGAAGUAGGUCCCAAGGGUAUGGCUGUUCGCCAUUUAAAGUGGUACGCGAGCUGGGUUUAGAACGUCGUGAGACAGUUCGGUCCCUAUCUGCCGUGGGCGCUGGAGAACUGAGGGGGGCUGCUCCUAGUACGAGAGGACCGGAGUGGACGCAUCACUGGUGUUCGGGUUGUCAUGCCAAUGGCACUGCCCGGUAGCUAAAUGCGGAAGAGAUAAGUGCUGAAAGCAUCUAAGCACGAAACUUGCCCCGAGAUGAGUUCUCCCUGACCCUUUAAGGGUCCUGAAGGAACGUUGAAGACGACGACGUUGAUAGGCCGGGUGUGUAAGCGCAGCGAUGCGUUGAGCUAACCGGUACUAAUGAACCGUGAGGCUUAACCUUACAACGCCGAAGGUGUUU